UUGCUUUGGCAGCACAUAUUCUAAAAUUGGAAUGAUACAGAGAAGAUUGGCAUGGCCACUGAGCAGGGGUGACACGUAAAUUUAUGAAGCAUUUCAUAUUUAA
Molecule: small nuclear RNA, 103 nt
Filed under: Microtus ochrogaster (prairie vole)
Lineage: Eukaryota; Metazoa; Chordata; Mammalia; Rodentia; Cricetidae
Source: RNAcentral